This 65-nucleotide transfer RNA is filed under the name Aspidoscelis inornatus (Little striped whiptail). RNAcentral describes it as "tRNA-Gly". The record is from RNAcentral. Lineage: Eukaryota; Metazoa; Chordata; Lepidosauria; Squamata; Teiidae.
CUUUUCUAGUAUAACUAUUACAAAUGACUUCCAAUCAUUAAAUCUUGUAUUAACAAGGAAAAGUA